UAACCUACGGGAGGCAGCAGUAGGGAAUCUUCCACAAUGGACGAAAGUCUGAUGGAGCAACGCCGCGUGAGUGAAGAAGGGUUUCGGCUCGUAAAACUCUGUUGGUAGUGAAGAAAGAUAGAGGUAGUAACUGGCCUUUAUUUGACGGUAAUUACUUAGAAAGUCACGGCUAACUACGUUCCAGCAGCCGCGGUAAUACGUAGGUGGCAAGCGUUGUCCGGAUUUUUUGGGCGUAAAUCGAGUGCAGGCGG
RNAcentral lists this ribosomal RNA (251 nucleotides) under uncultured bacterium. RNAcentral describes it as "partial 16S ribosomal RNA". It matches the Rfam family "Bacterial small subunit ribosomal RNA", at positions 333 to 578 of the family's 1533-position model. The record is from RNAcentral.